CAGCCGCGGUAUUCCAGCUCCAAUAGCGUAUAUUAAAGUUGUUGCAGUUAAAAAGCUCGUAGUUGAAUUUCGGGAUCAGUACGCUGGUCAUGCCUUUGGUAUGCACUGGUGUCACUGGUUUCUCCCUUCUGAAGAACCGUGAUGUCAUUAAUUUGGUGUCGCGGGGAAUCAGGACUGUUACUUUGAAAAAAUUAGAGUGUUUAAAGCAGGCUCACGCUUGAAUACAUUAGCAUGGAAUAAUGAAAUAGGACGUUUGACCCUAUUUUGUUGGUUUCUAGGAUCGACGUAAUGAUUAAUAGGGAUAGUUGGGGGCAUUAGUAUUCAAUUGUCAGAGGUGAAAUUCUUGGAUUUAUUGAAGACUAACUACUGCGAAAGCAUUUGCCAAGGAUGUUUUCAUUAAUCAAGAACGAAAGUUAGGGGAUCGAAGACGAUCAGAUACCGUCGUAGUCUUAACCAUAAACUAUGCCGACUAGGGAUCGGAUGAUGUUAAUUUUAUAAUGACUCAUUCGGCGCCUUACG
RNAcentral lists this ribosomal RNA (519 nucleotides) under uncultured Glomus. RNAcentral's name for it is "SSU rRNA". It matches the Rfam family "Eukaryotic small subunit ribosomal RNA", at positions 571 to 1092 of the family's 1831-position model. Lineage: Eukaryota; Fungi; Glomeromycota; Glomeromycetes; Glomerales; Glomeraceae. The record is from RNAcentral.